GGCGCUAUAGCCAAGUGGUUACGGCGACAGAUUAGAAUGGGGAAAAACGUUAUUAUCUGUUUCCCUUUGGGAGCGCAGGUUCGAAUCCUGCUGGCGUCG
Cerioporus squamosus is the source of this 99-nucleotide non-coding RNA. Lineage: Eukaryota; Fungi; Basidiomycota; Agaricomycetes; Polyporales; Polyporaceae. The record is from the annotation of a GenBank genome assembly.